This 585-nucleotide ribosomal RNA is filed under the name Vibrio parahaemolyticus. RNAcentral's name for it is "partial 23S ribosomal RNA". It matches the Rfam family "Bacterial large subunit ribosomal RNA", at positions 1296 to 1866 of the family's 2925-position model. The record is from RNAcentral. Lineage: Bacteria; Pseudomonadati; Pseudomonadota; Gammaproteobacteria; Vibrionales; Vibrionaceae.
GCUGACAUGAGUAACGAUAAAGGGGGUGAAAAACCUCCUCGCCGGAAGACCAAGGGUUCCUGUCCAACGUUAAUCGGGGCAGGGUAAGUCGACCCCUAAGGCGAGGCCGAAAGGCGUAGUCGAUGGGAAACGGGUUAAUAUUCCCGUACUUCUUACAAUUGCGAUGGGGGGACGGAGAAGGCUAGGUGGGCCUGGCGACGGUUGUCCAGGUUCAAGUGCGUAGGCUUAAGAGUUAGGUAAAUCCGGCUCUUUUUAAGGCUGAGACACGACGUCGAGCUACUACGGUAGUGAAGUCAUUGAUGCCAUGCUUCCAGGAAAAGCCUCUAAGCUUCAGAUUGUAAGGAAUCGUACCCCAAACCGACACAGGUGGUCGGGUAGAGAAUACCAAGGCGCUUGAGAGAACUCGGGUGAAGGAACUAGGCAAAAUGGUACCGUAACUUCGGGAGAAGGUACGCUCUUGAUGGUGAAGUCCCUCGCGGAUGGAGCUGACGAGAGUCGCAGAUACCAGGUGGCUGCAACUGUUUAUUAAAAACACAGCACUGUGCAAAAUCGUAAGAUGACGUAUACGGUGUGACGCCUGCCCGG